Molecule: long non-coding RNA, 599 nt
Organism: Eriocheir sinensis (Chinese mitten crab)
Lineage: Eukaryota; Metazoa; Arthropoda; Malacostraca; Decapoda; Varunidae
Exons: 5
Source: RefSeq, a predicted model, not a curated record
GAGCCGUGACGUGGAGGAAAGCGGCCGGCGUCAUCUCCACCACCACCUCAGACGCUCGUGACGCUAUGGUGACGUGUAUAGGAAGAGUAGCAGAGCGUCACCGUAACAGGGAAAGGGACCUCGUGAGCUAGACUAAUCCACGGAGACAUUGCAUAGAAGGAAUGUGAGUGGUGGAACUGGAGAUUGACGUCGGAAAAUGUGGAGAAAAUGGGAAGCGUGGAGUGGGUAUUGGUAUGCUCUACGUUGCCACAGAGAUGGAAAAAAGAUCACACCUACAUUAUUCCGUUGUCCUCCGAGCCCGGCGUAGCGUGGAGGACAGCUGCCCCGCCGCCUGCAGCCGCGUGUGAGACAGGGAACGAAAGAUGUAAUUUUGCCCUUUCACUUCCCUGCUCUGAUCCGGGAGGCGCUACGCUUUUUCUUCCCUUGAGUUUCAGGUACGCCGGGAAGCAGGUGAAGCAGGACGAGGCUAAGCAGAUAAUGAGCAGAUGAUGACGAUGAUGAUGAUGCUCCUGGAUGCUGCGUCGUAACUAGCAGGGACAACAUCCAGAAGCAACGACGCACCCGAACAGCCAUUCGCAUCACCUUGGGUCCGUAGCCUA